This 914-nucleotide ribosomal RNA is filed under the name Salmonella enterica subsp. enterica serovar Montevideo. Its description in RNAcentral is "partial 23S ribosomal RNA". It matches the Rfam family "Bacterial large subunit ribosomal RNA", at positions 585 to 1503 of the family's 2925-position model. The record is from RNAcentral. Lineage: Bacteria; Pseudomonadati; Pseudomonadota; Gammaproteobacteria; Enterobacterales; Enterobacteriaceae.
UUUGGGGUGUGACUGCGUACCUUUUGUAUAAUGGGUCAGCGACUUAUAUUCUGUAGCAAGGUUAACCGUAUAGGGGAGCCGGAGGGAAACCGAGUCUUAACCGGGCGUUAAGUUGCAGGGUAUAGACCCGAAACCCGGUGAUCUAGCCAUGGGCAGGUUGAAGGUUGGGUAACACUAACUGGAGGACCGAACCGACUAAUGUUGAAAAAUUAGCGGAUGACCUGUGGCUGGGGGUGAAAGGCCAAUCAAACCGGGAGAUAGCUGGUUCUCCCCGAAAGCUAUUUAGGUAGCGCCUCGUGAAUUCAUCUCCGGGGGUAGAGCACUGUUUCGGCUAGGGGGCCAUCCCGGCUUACCAACCCGAUGCAAACUGCGAAUACCGGAGAAUGUUAUCACGGGAGACACACGGCGGGUGCUAACGUCCGUCGUGAAGAGGGAAACAACCCAGACCGCCAGCUAAGGUCCCAAAGUCAUGGUUAAGUGGGAAACGAUGUGGGAAGGCCCAGACAGCCAGGAUGUUGGCUUAGAAGCAGCCAUCAUUUAAAGAAAGCGUAAUAGCUCACUGGUCGAGUCGGCCUGCGCGGAAGAUGUAACGGGGCUAAACCAUGCACCGAAGCUGCGGCAGCGACGCUGAUGCGUUGUUGGGUAGGGGAGCGUUCUGUAAGCCUGCGAAGGUGGCCUGUGAGGGUUGCUGGAGGUAUCAGAAGUGCGAAUGCUGACAUAAGUAACGAUAAAGCGGGUGAAAAGCCCGCUCGCCGGAAGACCAAGGGUUCCUGUCCAACGUUAAUCGGGGCAGGGUGAGUCGACCCCUAAGGCGAGGCCGAAAGGCGUAGUCGAUGGGAAACGGGUUAAUAUUCCCGUACUUGGUGUUACUGCGAAGGGGGGACGGAGAAGGCUAUGUUGGCCGGGCGACGGUU